This 503-nucleotide ribosomal RNA is filed under the name uncultured bacterium. Its description in RNAcentral is "partial 16S ribosomal RNA". It matches the Rfam family "Bacterial small subunit ribosomal RNA", at positions 30 to 523 of the family's 1533-position model. The record is from RNAcentral.
AUUGAACGCUGGCGGCAGGCUUAACACAUGCAAGUCGAGCGGGGUGAUGGUGCUUGCACUAUCACUUAGCGGCGGACGGGUGAGUAAUGCUUAGGAAUCUGCCUAUUAGUGGGGGACAACAUCUCGAAAGGGAUGCUAAUACCGCAUACGUCCUACGGGAGAAAGCAGGGGAUCACUUGUGACCUUGCGCUAAUAGAUGAGCCUAAGUCGGAUUAGCUAGUUGGUGGGGUAAAGGCCUACCAAGGCGACGAUCUGUAGCGGGUCAGAGAGGAUGAUCCGCCACACUGGGACUGAGACACGGCCCAGACUCCGACGGGAGGCAGCAGUGGGGAAUAUUGGGCAAUGGGGGGAACCCUGAUCCAGCCAUGCCGCGUGUGUGAAGAAGGCCUUAUGGUUGUAAAGCACUUUAAGCGAGGAGGAGGCUCUUUUGGUUAAUACCCAAGAUGAGUGGACGUUACUCGCAGAAUAAGCACCGGCUAACUCUGUGCCAGCCGCCGCGGUAA